Cinara cedri is the source of this 203-nucleotide non-coding RNA. The record is from the annotation of a GenBank genome assembly. Lineage: Eukaryota; Metazoa; Arthropoda; Insecta; Hemiptera; Aphididae.
AUGUUGCUCAAAUCAGAAAAACGGCCAGAAGAUGUCACACCAUACCGACCGGUUACACUCCUUUCAAGUUCAUCUAAAAUCUUAGAGAAAUUUCUACUUAAACGUCUAAAACCAAUCAUAGAAAAAAAAAACAUCUUAUACCGUACUGUCAGUUUGGAUUCCACAACAAACAUUCGCAGUAGCGGAUUUUCAACAUUUUGCUG